UUUUUUCUAACACUUUCCAGCGGAGAACACACCUUGUUUUGAGGAAACUGAGGCUGAAAUGCUCCUACGCUGCUGUCGCCUUCUCCUACGCUGACAUCACUGCAGGAAUAUAGCCAACCUUGCAAGACCGGUGCAAAACCCACAGGUGGUGACACAGAAGCUUGCUCACAUCUUUGGAAACAACAGAAAGCACAAACGCGCCUUUCCUUGCCAGCUCCUACGCUAGGAAUCUCUUUAUCUGGUUUUAUCUGGAGGUGGGCAAUCCAGCUCCGUUCCCUUCCUGUGUGCUGCAGCAAGGAACAUGAGCGCUCCCUGCUCCAAGCUCGCUGUCGUCGGGGCUUUGCCUCCGAAGAAGACUCAAUGGCACCAUCUGAUGGCCAUCAGAAGAGCUGUGCGCUCCUGCGGGCGCGGCAGGAUGGUCUCUGAGACAGCUAUUCCCAAGCAGGAACCCUGUUUGUAGCUGGGGUGGUGGUCCUGGUGGGGACAAAGUGAGGCUUUGGAGAGGGAUGGCAGCGUCGGGAUUUGGCCAUGUGAGGCCCUCUUGAUGCAGGCGGUUUUGUCCUGGUCCAGGUCCAAUGGGGAUUUAUUUGCUCCCAGCUCCAGCGUCCCUCUGGAAGAUCAUUCCUGGAGACUGUGAAGGAGAGAGGAGAGGCAAAGAUAUUUCCUGAAACCGAAGCCCUGAGAGGAACGCGUGAGAGGCGCAAAUCGAUGCUGCACUUCCGAGAGCCUCCAGACUCCCUGGAUCAGCAAUAACAGAAGGUUGAGCUCAUUGCUAAUGGCUUCGGUGGGUGUGAGAGCCAAGGGCAGCCAGUCCGUGCAGGAGAAGGGCUUGGUACUGCCUGCAUCUGUCAGCAGCUCUGCCUGGCACAGCCCCGGCAGAUGGAGAGGGUGAGCGCACCAGGAAGAUCCUUUUUCACCACUUCUCUGCACACAGAGCAUUUUUCUCAUGAGGAGAGGAGUCAAGGCUUCACUGUUGGCCAGGUGCUGUCAAACAUGCAGCUGAGCUGUUGUUGAGAGCAGAGCUGGUGAGACCACAGGGGUUGUGUGAGCUGGAUGGCUCCUCACACUCCCCUGGGUUAUCUUGCUGGCUGCUUCCUCUUCAGUCUCCUCUGAUAUAACAUCACAGAAUCAUUUAGGUUGGAAAAGACGUUCAGGAUCACAAAAUCCAACCAUCAAGCUUGCCUAGUGAGUUCCAUGAUUAAAACAUGGCCCUUAGUGCCAUACUCACACCUCUCAGUGUCUCUACCCCUUAUAUACUUUCUUAAAUGCUUGCAAGGAAAGAGACUUCCCCAGACCUAAGAGGUUAUUCUGCUACCUGAGAAACCUCAGUGCUUCUGCCUGGCUCUGGAGGCAAGGUGCCCAUUGGUGGAACUGGGCUGAAGCAGCUCUUCCAUCACAGUACAG
RNAcentral lists this long non-coding RNA (1404 nucleotides) under Gallus gallus (chicken). Its description in RNAcentral is "lncRNA (ENSGALG00010026580.1)". The record is from RNAcentral. Lineage: Eukaryota; Metazoa; Chordata; Aves; Galliformes; Phasianidae.